UAUUCCUGCCAGGGGUCAAACCUAGACUAAUAGCCCGAAAAACUAUAGUUGUACCUUCAACUACAAGAAC
This 70-nucleotide transfer RNA is filed under the name Pyxicephalus adspersus. RNAcentral describes it as "tRNA-Glu". The record is from RNAcentral. Lineage: Eukaryota; Metazoa; Chordata; Amphibia; Anura; Pyxicephalidae.